RNAcentral lists this transfer RNA (75 nucleotides) under Paenibacillus thiaminolyticus. RNAcentral's name for it is "tRNA-Ala". It matches the Rfam family "tRNA". Rfam says of the family: Transfer RNA (tRNA) molecules are approximately 80 nucleotides in length. Their secondary structure includes four short double-helical elements and three loops (D, anti-codon, and T loops). Lineage: Bacteria; Bacillati; Bacillota; Bacilli; Caryophanales; Paenibacillaceae. The record is from RNAcentral.
GGGGUCGUAGCUUAAUGGUAGAGCAACUGCUUUGCAAGCAGGAGGUUGGAGGUUCAAAUCCUCUCGAUUCCACCA